Long non-coding RNA from Puntigrus tetrazona (Sumatra barb), 427 nucleotides. RefSeq lists it as uncharacterized. NCBI's taxonomy places the organism in Eukaryota, Metazoa, Chordata, Actinopteri, Cypriniformes, Cyprinidae. The transcript has 5 exons. The record is from RefSeq and is a predicted model, not a curated record.
CAUCACAGCAGCCGUGUGCAGAAGGUCAGAGGUCAUUUGGAUGGGCUUGACCAGAGCUCGGAUGACAAAGAAAGGGUGAAAUUAUGGGCUUCUCUGGCCAAGACUGCCCGGAAACAGGAGGUGUUCGACGUGUGUCGGGCGGCCUGCCGCUUCUGUCUGCUUUAUGAUGACGGACGAUGGAAAACCACGAGCUCCACGGGUUGUGAUCGUCCAGAUCAGAAGAAGCAGACUGACCCGAGCACACAGAGAGAUCUGCUGCGUCUGCUGGCCGAGGUCCACUUCCUCCACGCUGAGGUAACAGUCCUCAAACUCCGCUCCGAGGGGGUGGAGCUAAACGGCUCUGCCGUAGCACCUGAUGAAAAACAGACACGCCCACCUGAAGGCGACGCCCACUGGAACCUGUACAGUGAUUGGAUCAAGGAUUUAU